Long non-coding RNA from Mauremys reevesii (Reeves's turtle), 506 nucleotides. RefSeq lists it as uncharacterized. The record is from RefSeq and is a predicted model, not a curated record. The transcript is spliced from 2 exons. Lineage: Eukaryota; Metazoa; Chordata; Testudines; Geoemydidae.
UGAACAUCAGCAUCAUCUCUUUAUGGUUAGAACAGUCUUCCUUUUAAAAAAAAUGAGAACAGUAAGUUUACACAUCUUGGAUCAUGUCUGCACUAGAAAGUGAAGUCUAUUUUGUGUGACCCUAUGCGAUAUCAGUCUCCUGAGGAUAACAGGGGUGGCAAGGGAGGAGAUGCUGCAAGCGUUUGCGUACAGUCCUGAUCCUUGCGCUGCUAUGCUGUGUAUUGCAAUGAUGCCAGCGGAGUUAAUAAUGGAGUGGUGUGGGAAAGUGUCCUGCUAUUGUGGAAGAAAUAAGGCAGCCCUCCCCAGAAACCUUGUGCAGAGGAUUGCAGAGUACCUGUAUGAAAGUUUCCUAGCGAUCUCAAUGGAGGAUUCCUAUGUCAUCCCAACGCACAUAAGCAGUCGUUUUGGGGCACACCCACAGCGUAGGUGGAGCAUCCACUGGCAAGCAGAUACCCAGUGCCCAUCAUUCUUUUUUUCAGAUUAAAUCUAUAAUAUAAUGGAAUGUA